RNAcentral lists this ribosomal RNA (245 nucleotides) under uncultured Schlesneria sp. RNAcentral's name for it is "partial 16S ribosomal RNA". It matches the Rfam family "Bacterial small subunit ribosomal RNA", at positions 524 to 768 of the family's 1533-position model. Lineage: Bacteria; Pseudomonadati; Planctomycetota; Planctomycetia; Planctomycetales; Planctomycetaceae. The record is from RNAcentral.
UACGAACUGUGCGAACGUUAUUCGGAAUCACUGGGCUUAAAGGGUGCGUAGGCGGUUUUCUAAGUCACGUGUGAAAUCUUCUGGCUCAACCAGAAAACUGCGCGUGAUACUGGAGAACUUGAGUGAGGUAGGGGUGUGUGGAACUUCCGGUGGAGCGGUGAAAUGUGUAGAGAUCGGAAGGAACGCCAGCAGCGAAAGCGGCACACUGGGCCUUUUCUGACGCUGAGGCACGAAAGCUAGGGGAG